CGAGUCGGCCGGGUGAUCGCUGCGGGAAACCGUUGAGGAAAGUCCGGACUCCACAGGGCAGGGUGGUGGGUAACGCCCACCCGGGGUGACCCGCGGGACAGUGCCACAGAAAGCAAACCGCCCCCUCGGGGGUAAGGGUGAAAGGGUGGGGUAAGAGCCCACCGCGUCGGUGGUGACAUCGACGGCACGGCAAACCCCACCCGGAGCAAGACCAAGAAGGGCUUCGGCCCGCGGAUGCCGUUCGAGCGCUGCCCGCGCGAGGCGUCCGGGUAGGUUGCACGGCGUCGGCGCAAGCCGGCGUCGGAGGCCCCCGGCGACGGGGGUCACAGAUGGAUGAUCACCCGCCUUCGGGCGACAGAAUCCGGCUUACAGGCCGGCUCGUCCC
This 385-nucleotide RNase P RNA is filed under the name Actinomycetes bacterium. RNAcentral describes it as "RNase P RNA component class A". It matches the Rfam family "Bacterial RNase P class A". Rfam says of the family: Ribonuclease P (RNase P) is a ubiquitous endoribonuclease, found in archaea, bacteria and eukarya as well as chloroplasts and mitochondria. The record is from RNAcentral. Lineage: Bacteria; Bacillati; Actinomycetota; Actinomycetes. RNAcentral also lists the same sequence under 3 other names.